CCUACGGGUGGCAGCAGUGAGGAAUAUUGGUCAAUGGACGAGAGUCUGAACCAGCCAAGUAGCGUGAAGGAUGACUGCCCUAUGGGUUGUAAACUUCUUUUAUAAAGGAAUAAAACGAGGCACGUGUGCCUUUUUGCAUGUACUUUAUGAAUAAGGAUCGGCUAACUCGUUGCCAGAAGCCGCGGUAAUCCGGAGGAUCCGAGCUUUAUCCGGAUUUAUUGGGUUUAAAGGGAGCGUAGAUGGGUUGUUAAGUCAGUUGUGAAAGUUUGCGGCUCAACCGUAAAAUUGCAAUUGAUACUGGCAUUCUUGAGUACAGUUGAGGUAGGCGGAAUGCGUGGUGUAGCGGUGAAAUGCUUAGAUAUCACGAAGAACCCCGAUUGCGAAGGCAGCUUACGAAACUGUGACUGACAUUGAUGCUCGAAAGUGUGGGUAUCAAACAGGAUUAGAUACCCGUGUAGUC
RNAcentral lists this ribosomal RNA (460 nucleotides) under uncultured bacterium. Its description in RNAcentral is "partial 16S ribosomal RNA". It matches the Rfam family "Bacterial small subunit ribosomal RNA", at positions 338 to 795 of the family's 1533-position model. The record is from RNAcentral.